GACGAACGCUGGCGGCGUGCCUAAUACAUGCAAGUCGAACGCUUCUUUCCUCCCGAGUGCUUGCACUCAAUUGGAAAGAGGAGUGGCGGACGGGUGAGUAACACGUGGGUAACCUACCCAUCAGAGGGGGAUAACACUUGGAAACAGGUGCUAAUACCGCAUAACAGUUUAUGCCGCAUGGCAUAAGAGUGAAAGGCGCUUUCGGGUGUCGUUGAUGGAUGGACCCGCGGUGCAUUAGCUAGUUGGUGAGGUAACGGCUCACCAAGGCCACGAUGCAUAGCCGACCUGAGAGGGUGAUCGGCCACACUUGGACUGAGACACGGCCCAGACUCCUACGGGAGGCAGCAGUAGGGAAUCUUCGGCAAUGGACGAAAGUCUGACCGAGCAACGCCGCGUGAGUGAAGAAGGUUUUCGGAUCGUAAAACUCUGUUGUUAGAGAAGAACAAGGACGUUAGUAACUGAACGUCCCCUGACGGUAUCUAACCAGAAAGCCACGGCUAACUACGUG
This 508-nucleotide ribosomal RNA is filed under the name uncultured bacterium. RNAcentral's name for it is "partial 16S ribosomal RNA". It matches the Rfam family "Bacterial small subunit ribosomal RNA", at positions 28 to 507 of the family's 1533-position model. The record is from RNAcentral.